This 329-nucleotide unclassified non-coding RNA is filed under the name soil metagenome. RNAcentral's name for it is "partial contains 5.8S ribosomal RNA, internal transcribed spacer 2, and large subunit ribosomal RNA". The stretch from base 1 to 120 matches the Rfam family "5.8S ribosomal RNA", at positions 35 to 154 of the family's 154-position model. The record is from RNAcentral.
GAUGAAGAACGCAGCGAAAUGCGAUAAGUAAUGUGAAUUGCAGAAUUCAGUGAAUCAUCGAAUCUUUGAACGCACAUUGCGCCCCUUGGUAUUCCGAGGGGCAUGCCUGUUCGAGCGUCAUUAUAACCCCUCAAGCUCAGCUUGGUGUUGGGGCCUGCUGCACUGGCAGCCCUUAAAAUCAGUGGCGGCGCCAUCUGGCUCUAAGCGUAGUAAUUCUUCUCACUAUGGAGUCCUGGCGGAUGCUUGCCAUCAACCCCCAAUUUUUCUAUGGUUGACCUCGGAUCAGGUAGGGAUACCCGCUGAACUUAAGCAUAUCAAUAAGCGGAGGA